UUAAAAAUCGAUUGAUAUUACCGUAUAUGUUUGAUGAUAUGGUUCAAACGUUUCUACUAAGCAACCUAUAAUUGCUAAGCUACGGGAAUUACUUUAAUUAUG
Molecule: non-coding RNA, 102 nt
Filed under: Clostridium cylindrosporum
Lineage: Bacteria; Bacillati; Bacillota; Clostridia; Eubacteriales; Clostridiaceae
Also listed under: 1 other name
Description: Guanine sequence
Rfam family: Purine riboswitch aptamer
About the family: Riboswitches are metabolite binding domains within certain messenger RNAs that serve as precision sensors for their corresponding targets. Allosteric rearrangement of mRNA structure is mediated by ligand binding, and this results in modulation of gene expression.
Source: RNAcentral